RNAcentral lists this ribosomal RNA (3673 nucleotides) under Triticum aestivum (bread wheat). RNAcentral describes it as "partial small subunit ribosomal RNA". Lineage: Eukaryota; Viridiplantae; Streptophyta; Magnoliopsida; Poales; Poaceae. The record is from RNAcentral.
GGAUGGAGACAGCGGAGACAAUAGGGGUUGGAGAAGGAGAGCCGAGAGAGAGGGUAUUCCGGCCGGUGGUGUUUCUCCAGCCGUAGCAAGCCUCGAGAGAGGUGGAAUAGAGGGGUUGUCGGCGAGAGAGAAAACAUAGGGGUGAAAGAGGGGGCCACUGCUUUGUAGCUCUGGCGUAGCCGGUGGCUGCUACGUUCCUCCUGCUUCGUGCUGAAGAAGGGUAGGGCCGGUGGCCGCGACGUUUCAGCUACAACGCCGCGUCGUAUUCGGCAUCGUCAAGACGUUCCGCCCGAGCCGCGACACUCCGCCCUCGCGCCCGACGAGGAAGCCACCCGCCACCUCGAUGUUGGGUUACCCGCACGGCGAUGCGCCGCUGCCGCCUCGACGUUACACCCACCACUCGCCUCCUCGACGUUGCGCCCACCACUCGCCUCCUCGACGUCGCGUUGCCGGUACCACAACGCGCAGCCGCUGCCUCUGCGUCCCGUUGCUGGUACCACAACACACGGCAGCCGCCUCGAUGUCACGUUGUGCGGCCACUCACUGUCUCGACGUCACGUUACCCCCGUAUCACCGGCCGUGGUCUCGACGUUGCGUUGUGUGGCCACAACGAUACCUCGUAGCGGCCCCCCGCGGCCUCAACGAUACCUCGUAGCUGUCCGGCAACUACAACGUAACCUCGUAGCGGACACGACAUAACUUCGUGGCGGCUCCAGCGGCCCCGACGUUACUGCCCAGCGGCCCCAGCAAAUUUGAAGCGGCAGGUACGUUACCUCGCGGCGGCCUCGACGUUACCUCGCGACGGCCUCAGCGGCCCGACGUUACUUCGGAGUGCCUCCCAGCGGCCACGACGCAACUUCGCGGCAGCCCCAACGGCCCCGACGUUACCUCGCGGCGGCUCCGGCCUCGACGUGUCGACCUCGAAGUGACCCGCAGUGGCGACGACACAACUUCGCAGCGGCCCAGCAGCCCCGACGUUACAGCGAAGCGACCCGACAGUAAGUUCGAAACGGCCACGCCCACGAUGCCCUGCCGUUCGACCACGGGACCGGCCUCGAUGCGCGCUCGUACGCGACCCUCGGCCUCGACAACGCCUUUCUUACUUGUCCACCCCAACCUCGUUCCUGCACCAGUUGAGGUGCCCUCUAGUUUGGCAGGAUUAGUCCCGCUUAGAUACCGACCGCUCCGCCGACUAGGAAAGGGUCCUACUCAGCCGAAUGCGGAUCGUCACCGGUUAUUAUUUCGUGCCCAACUCAGGCAACCCAAGUGGCAGCACGGCAAAAACGUUAUUUCAGGGACACGGAAAACUAUUAACUUGGGCGUGAGGAAAAAAUUCACCUUGACCCUUUUUGCGAAGCAACAACGUUUUUUCAGCGACUGGAGAAAUUCUUAGUUGGGCCUCAGGGGUUAUCGGGCUCGCGGAGAGGAAGAGUGCUCACCUAGGCGGCGACGGGAGCGGGGUAGCAGCGGGGUGGUGGCGAGCGGCGACGCCUAGGCGGUUGAGGCGGCGGCAAGGAGAGAUCGGAGGCGGCGACGGCCGGGAGAGGCGGGAGGGGGCCAGAAGAGGGGGAGGCAGCGGGACAAGAAGAAGGGGAGGGGUAGGAGAGGAUUAGAAGAGGCCGCGCGCGUGAGCGCCUACGUCCGCUUACCGAGCCCGUCCUCUGUACCGAGUGCCGCCGCCGCAGAGAGGAGCCCUCCUCGAGCUCGCAACUCCAGCCCCACACGCGACGGGGAUCCUGCCUCAGGUGGCUAGGCACGACCAGUACCAGGUGGUGGUGGUGCGGAAGUUAGGCUGGAGGUGUUGAAGUCGUUCGUCCUCGUAGCGUUACCAACGCCAGACGAGUUAAAUUGAUAACUUAUAUAAUCAAAGAACUAGGAAAGACUCUAGUACAAAACAAACGUAGACUAUUAAUCCUACUGGAGGAAAGAAAGUCCAAACAUACGAUUCUAUUUGAACUCACUGCUCCAACUAAACAAACAUACGAUCCUACUUGAACUCACUGCUCCAACUAAACCUUCUAGUACAGAGGUCUGUCCUAUUUUAGUCACGACGAUUACACUCAACUAAACCUUCUAACAGAGGUCUGUCCUAUUUUAGUUACGACUACUACUUCGACCGUGCGGAUAAUAGGCGUUUUUAGCCAUUACAAUAGGACGGGUUCCUGAAGCUCUUCCCAAUGGCUUGGUUGCAGUUCUUCGGAAUCUGUCUGAAACUGAAGAUGUUUACUCCGUUGCUUGAUAAUUUCUCCUACCAAAUAAAGGAUGCCCGUUGUUAAUAAUUGUGAUCUCAACUUAAACAACUGCCAGCGCAGGCUGUCAUUAUAGGGACAUAGAACCACGAGGACAUCAAACGUGUAAGUCAGAGUAAUCACAACAAUUCGAUGAACGGACGUUUUUCGCAGUACCCUCAACGAAGGGUCGCUCUCUCUUCUCAAGUUUUUCCCUCUCUCGUUUCUUCUUCCUGUUCCUCUCCCGUCACCACAGCACACCUCUGACCGGCCACUCCGUAUUGAUCUUCAAAGAGAUUACCAGCUGUUGUUCCUAGUGACGUGUUGUCCGAAACCUCGUCCGAGGCUAAGUAUCUCUUGAGGGGUUGUUGGAGUAGAAAACUCCUACAAUCUACCUAUAACUUAGGUCAUUCGGAGGUUAUCUAUUUCCUUCAGUUUAAAAGACAACCAUUAAACGUGCUGUCCCAAGAUCGUUUAAAUACUAACACGGAUGUUGUUUGAUGGAGACGGACUUCUAAACUCUAAAAAGUCUCUUCUUUCUUGAGAUCUCCACACGUACAAACAGUAUAAAAAUACCUCUUAGUUCAGACGUCUUAUGGAUGACUAAACUCCUUAAGCCUACAAUGGGUACCAGUAUGUGUCUACAUCAAAUACUCUUUGAUAGAAUACAACUACCACACAUUCGUAUAGUCGGAGGGCCAACGGAUAAAGUAAGGAGUGCCCUGGUAAUACGACCCGAUUAACUCCAUGUGUGGUUCUCCCUCUUAAAGCCGUCGACUUUUAGACCUGGACUUUUUCGAUGCAGUCCGGUGGAUAAGACGUGUUGAGGUUUGUUCAACUUUGAAAUGUCUCUAAAAAAUACCUCAUAUAUUCUUAAUAACCUCGGUUAUUCAUGGUCUCCCCCCAGUCCACCCGUGUUGGAUGGACCCGCGCGGUCCAUCGGGUCCACGCGGUACCACCCAUCAUCGGGGGAGCCGGGUGGAGGCCACGGGUAGAAGACCAUAUAUUGAGUAAAAAUGGAUUUUUUUUAUUCCCCUUCUGAAAGCCCCGCCUCUCGGCGGCAGAGCUCCGCCUUGAACCCAUCCUCGUGAAAACGGGAGACCGCCUCGCUAAGACGGCCCCUUGAAGGGAAGGCCUCCACCUUUAGUAGCAGUAGUAGUAGUCGUUGUUGAGAGGGUAGAACCCCUCCCGUUAGAGGUAGUUGUAGAAGUGGUCGUGGUAGAGUAGAGUUUAGGAUCAAGUAGAGAACAUAAGUUAGAACAAUGGCCUUGAUCUAACCACGAUCCCCCACUGAUCAUCACAACUAAUGUAGAACAUCAACUAAUGAUAUACCAAAUAAACCACCUUCUAAUAUACAAGUCUAGGUACUACGAUAAAUUAUGAGGAGACUAGUACUCGUACAAAUAAUAAACACUCAUCAAUGAAAGUAAGAACUCCAGUGCCCU